This 604-nucleotide long non-coding RNA is filed under the name Nicotiana benthamiana. Its description in RNAcentral is "long non-coding RNA (NBEN_LNC036202)". Lineage: Eukaryota; Viridiplantae; Streptophyta; Magnoliopsida; Solanales; Solanaceae. The record is from RNAcentral.
AAGAGAGAAGAAACAUAUAGUUAUCGAAAGUAAUCCACAGAUUAUUGUCUGUGAGAUAAUUAGUGGGUAAUAAAAAUAUUAUAGUGAAGUGUGUUAAAUAAAGAGUAUUAUUUCUUUUAUAGUUGUAGUAGUUUCUUAACUCUACUACAUUGUAUUAUUAUAGUGAUAAUAUUGCUCCACUCAAAUAUUGUAUUUACCCCGCUAAAAUAUCUAAUGUCAUUGUUACUCUCUUGUGUUAUUAUUAUUUCCUGUGAAUAUUAUUCCUGUGCGGAAUUAUUUUUUCAAUCCCAACAGUACUGUUGGACAUUGCUUUGAGUGCUGUCAAGAUGGCUUAAGUGUUAGCCGAAUAUGUCUACUCCUUGAAUUUGUGGCAAAUGGGGCCCUGCGGGGGGACAUAGAAAUAUCUUGAUAUAUAUAUAUAUAUAGAUGACUUAAGCGUUAGCGGAAUAUGUAUUUUUUCGUAUUUAUGCCAAAUAGGACGUUGCGGGAGUCAUAUCAAAAUAUUGAGAUAUAGACAUUGUAUUUAUUGACAACAUUGAUGUUGUUAAGAAUAGAAUUUUAUUUGGAGUGAAUGUCUAUCUUGUAGAGAGUUUUACUUUGAGGC